Molecule: non-coding RNA, 148 nt
Filed under: Gorilla gorilla gorilla (western lowland gorilla)
Lineage: Eukaryota; Metazoa; Chordata; Mammalia; Primates; Hominidae
Source: Rfam by way of RNAcentral
GCCAGGUGCAGUGGUGCGCACCUGUAAUCCCAGCUACUUGGGAGGCUGAGACAGGAGAAUCGCUUGAACCUGGGAGGUGGAGGUUGCAGUGAGCCAAGAUCGUGCCACUGCACUCCAGCCUGGGUGACAGAGUGAGACUCCGUCUCAA